CCAGACUCCUGGGAGGCAGCAGUGGGGAAUAUUGCACAAUGGGGGAAACCCUGAUGCAGCAACGCCGCGUGAGUGAGGAAGUAUUUCGGUAUGUAAAGCUCUAUCAGCAGGGAAUAGAAAAGAAGGUACCUGAAAAAGAAGCCCCGGCUAACUACGUGCCAGCAGCCGCGGUAAUACGUAGGUGGCAAGCGUUAUCCGGAUUUAUUGGGUGUAAAGGGCGUGUAGGCGGGAAUGCAAGUCAGAUGUGAAAACUAUGGGCUCAACCCAUAGCCUGCAUUUGAAACUGUAUUUCUUGAGUGCUGGAGAGGCAAUCGGAAUUCCGUGUGUAGCGGUGAAAUCCGUAGAUAUCUGGAGGAACAUCAGUGGCGAAGGCGACUAUCUGGCACAUAACUGACGCUGAGGAGCGAAAGCGUGGGUAGCAAGCAGGAUUAGAUACCCGCGUAU
RNAcentral lists this ribosomal RNA (444 nucleotides) under uncultured bacterium. RNAcentral describes it as "bacterial SSU rRNA". It matches the Rfam family "Bacterial small subunit ribosomal RNA", at positions 331 to 793 of the family's 1533-position model. The record is from RNAcentral.